Molecule: long non-coding RNA, 1180 nt
Filed under: Cyanistes caeruleus (blue tit)
Lineage: Eukaryota; Metazoa; Chordata; Aves; Passeriformes; Paridae
Description: lncRNA (ENSCCEG00000007709.1)
Source: RNAcentral
AGGUCCAGCUCCAGCAGCGUCCGGUGCCAGCGGAGAGUCACCGACAGCCAGGAACCGGAACCGGAACCGGAACCGGAACCGGAACCGGAACAGCCGGGGGGAACCGACACCGAGAGACGCUCCAGCCCUGGGGACACAGGUGUGACACAGGGGUGACACAGGUGUGACACAGGUGACAAUGGCUCAGGUCCAGCUCCAGCAGCGUCCGGUGCCAGCGGAGAGUCACGGCCAGCCAGGAACCGGAACCGGAACCGGAACCGGAACCGGAACAGCCGGGGGGAACCGACACCGAGAGACGCUCCAGCCCUGGGGACACAGGGGUGACACAGGGACAGGUGUGACACAGGUGUGACACAGGUGACAAUGGGACAAUGGGACAGGUGUGACACAGGUGUGACACAGGUGACACAGGUGUGACACAGGUGUGACACAGGUGUGACACAGGGGUGACACAGGGGUGACACAGGUUACAAUGGGACAGGUGUGACACAGGUGUGACACAGGUGACACAGGGGUGACACAGGUGACAAUGGGACAGGUGUGACACAGGGGUGACACAGGUGACACAGGUGUGACAGGUGACACUGGGACAGGUGACAGAGAUGACACAGGUGUGACACAGGGGAUAAUGGGACAGGUGACACAGGUGUGACACAGGUGACAAUGGGACAGGUGACAGAAAUGACACAGGUGUGACACAGGUGUGACACAGGGGACAAUGGGACAGGUGACAAAGAUGACACAGGUGACACAAGUGUGACAGGUGACAAUGGGACAGGUGACACAGGUGUGAUACGGGUGACACAGGUGUGACACAGGUGACACUGGGACAGGUGACAAAGAUGACACAGGUGUGACACAGGUGUGACAGGUGACAAUGGGACAGGUGACACAGGUGGACACAGGGACAGGUGACAAUGGGACCAGCUGUCCCCAGGUGUGUCUGGGUGUCCCCAGCUGUAUCCAGGUGUCCCCAGGUGUAUCCAGGUGUGUCCCCAGGUGUCCCAGGUGUGUCUGGGUGUGUCCCCAGGUGUGUCUGGGUGUGUCCCCAGGUGUGUCCCCAGGUGUCCCCAGGUGUCCCCAGGUGCAUCCAGGUGUCCCCAGGUGUGUCCCCAGGUGUGUCUGGGUGUGUCCCCAGGUGUGUCCCCAGGUGUCCCCAGGUGUGUCCCCAGGUGUGUCU